GACGAACGCUGGCGGCGUGCUUAACACAUGCAAGUCGAACGGAAAGGCCUGGCAUUUGUGGGGUGCUCGAGUGGCGAACGGGUGAGUAUCACGUGAGUAACCUGCCCUUGACUUUGGGGUAACUUCAGGAAACUGGGGCUAAUACCGGAUAGGAGCUCCUGCUGCAUGGUGGGGGUUGGAAAGUUUCGGCGGUUUGGGAUGGACUCGCGGCCUAUCAGCUUGUUGGUGGGGUGGUGGCUUACCAAGGCUUCGACGGGUAGCCGGCCUGAGAGGGUGACCGGGCACAUUGGGACUGAGAAAGCGGCCGUACUGCUUCGGGGGGCAGCAGUGGGGGUUAGUGCACGAUGGGCGGAAGGCGGAUGCAGCAUCGCCGGGUGCUGGAUGUCGGUCUUCGGGGUGUAAACCGCUUGCGCCUGUGACGAUGAGUGAGUGACGGUAAUGGGUAAAGAAGCACCGGCUAACUACGUG
Molecule: ribosomal RNA, 468 nt
Filed under: uncultured bacterium
Lineage: Bacteria
Description: partial 16S ribosomal RNA
Rfam family: Bacterial small subunit ribosomal RNA
Source: RNAcentral